GCAGGAAGUGUUCACUUUUUCUGUUUCGGGCUGUACGCUGUGGCUCUGCGCCUCCAGGGCUUUGCUGCCUGGAGAGCGUCCUCCCUGUACCGCAGAGUCCUUGCCCGACCUACAAAGCCGAGGCUUCUAUGGGAUAUUCUGGAUUCGCCAUAGGGGUUUCUCCUAGCGCGGAUUGUGUGUUUGCGCUGGCGAUGCUCAUAGAAGAAGGGCGCAGAGCUGUACGAGGAGGCUGGAUGCACCGGUCAGAGCCCUCGGUGGCCUCCACCCCGCUGCUCUUGGCGCCGGUCCGCUCCUGGAGACCGCGCUGUAGCCGCCUGGGAGGCGAGGCGCGUAAUCUCCGCGCUACCCACGCGGGGCCGCGGCGCGGUGGCCGUACUUUGGCUUUGGGCGCUGGAUGGACAGUGGGGUAAAGGGUGGGGGUUCCGGGUCCCCUAACGUGGAUUACUUGGUGUUUAUCAACUGGAUUUAGAAGACUCACCACCUGGUCUCCAUCAUCCGUGGAUUGUCUUUCCAUCUCAGCCCCUCUUCCACCUAGAGGUAGGCCUAAAAGGAGACUGACCAAGGGCUCAUCCUGCUUAUCCACGCUACUUAUCAAGAACUGUGGAACUAUGGAGAAUAUGACCUUGACCCUUCCUUCAGGAUCUGGCUGAGAUCUGGCUGCCUCUUGAGAUGCUAGAGCCCUGGAUUCAAUUGAGGAACAUUAUGUUGGAGAAUAUAAACACUUCUAGACUGCGCACACAUUUGGGAAGGAAUAGUCCGUUUUGACUUGAAUGAGCAAAGACAUACGACUCUGGGCAUGGGGAAGGCUCACCAGAUCAGCUCAUCUACUGUCUGGUGGCACACAUGUCCCCUACUGCCACUACCCAGGACACUCUUCCUCACUCUGUCCCUGUCCAGCCACACCCUUCCCUGUCUGACUCCUCCUCCUGUGCCCACCUCGCCUCUGGACCCAGAGUUGCUCUUGGGUUGCUCUAUUAUCCUUGAGCCGGAUAUACAGGGUGAAUAAGUUAACCACACUUGGGUUGAAUGGGAUCUUGAUUCUUAUUUCUGUUCCUUGGAAAGAGGGUCAGUCUCAGUGCGUGGCACCCAGCCUGGAAGCAGCACAAGACUCCAGAGUGAUACAUGAUCUGCCUGGAUGGUCCUGUGGGCUCUUUGGAGGUCAGAGCAAGAGGAGCAGCCUGAGCGGGGGGUGGGGGGUGCUGAGGAGGGCCGGCACUGGACUGCACGCAGGCAUACGUCUGGAUAGGCAGAGAGAAGCCCACUUUUCAUUCCUUCUUCUGUGACACAAAUGCAAGGGGCUUUGAAGACUCUCUUCGGCGGCUACAGUCAGAGGUCAGCUUAUCCAGGGGCUCCCUACCGGAGCAGCCAGCUCUGUUGGUCGUGCCUCCUGAGGACUUCUUUCCUCUACUGUAUGCUGAGGAUACACCCAUCUGCUGGGAGCUGGAGCCUUCUCUGGUUCUUUCCUCUAUGUCCCCCCCUCCCCCCAGCUUGUGCAGUUGGGAAUCCUUCCUAAUCACGCCUUGAUUCCCCCUUCUUGACUACACUCAAAGAUGUUUGAGCUGUUUUAUUUGCAAAAUGGAUGGACAGUGUGUAUAUAUAAAACAAUCCAAGCUUUCUUGUGCUGUAUCUGGUGUGUCUGUAUGGCUCUUCAGUGACUUUAAAAUGGAGCGUGGACUUUGGCCUCUUUGAUUCUCCAUGAUGGAAUCGAGAAGACCUCUUGAAGAUGCUUCUUGUUGCUGAGAUCUUAAGAAGGCUUGCAGACUUCUUCCUCCCUCCUUCCUCCACCUCCUUCCUCCCUAAGCAGCCUCUGUGUUGUAUAAAUUCCUUCAUAUAAAUUCCUCUG
Molecule: long non-coding RNA, 1843 nt
Filed under: Mus pahari (shrew mouse)
Lineage: Eukaryota; Metazoa; Chordata; Mammalia; Rodentia; Muridae
Description: lncRNA (MGP_PahariEiJ_G0004675.1)
Source: RNAcentral